Long non-coding RNA from Archocentrus centrarchus (flier cichlid), 611 nucleotides. RefSeq lists it as uncharacterized. NCBI's taxonomy places the organism in Eukaryota, Metazoa, Chordata, Actinopteri, Cichliformes, Cichlidae. The transcript is spliced from 3 exons. The record is from RefSeq and is a predicted model, not a curated record.
ACAAACAGUCUAUUUGACCAUCUAUCUGAGCGCAGUAGUGAAAGUUUGCAGCUUUUCUUUGUCUCAUAAGAAAGUGAAAUUAUUUCAGACCAUUAAUCGGCUAAUGGGGCCAUAAAUGGGAAGAAGCUCAUUCAUAAUAGAAAUCAAUACAGAUGACGGCAGGCUCGUGAUGAAUGCUCUACAACAAAACCUUGCAGAAAUGGGAAAGCUUGGAGAAAGAGCGCCUGUUUGGGAUUUCUCUGCAGGUUUUCACUGAGCUCCAUUGUUCCUCCUAUCCUGGCUUUAAAAAGGCUGCAGCUCAGGCCAUGAAUGGAGAUGAUUUCACUCUUGGGAAGAACGCCAUCAUCUUUUAGCAGGAAUGACAGAGACACUGGCUGUUGCAGUGUCAUUCCCCCUGGCUGCGCUGUGGAUUACUCACCUGAAUCUCCUACCUGCUUCUGUCUAGCUGGUCUGCUCGCCCUCUGACAUCCUCUGCUCCUACGGAAAGCCAAACCAGUGGCCUCUAUCUCAGGAAAUCUCUUUCAGCCUUCUUAAAUUUCCUCUCCUCUGGUCAGACCUGUACCCAGAGACAUCUCAGAAUCCUCUCACAUUAUCACAAAUCUCCUUUGCAC